CAUCGACUGCUGCUGCAGCUUCAGCCGAUCGUCCGUCAGGAUCUGGGGAAACGUUGGUAGGGAUCUAACCUCGGGAGCCAGAGCAGCAGAUGGCUGCGGCCUGCCUCCUCUGCAUACACAGGGGUUGCCUUGGUCAUGGUGUCUCUUCACAGCACUAACACAGUGACUAAGACAGAGGACAAAUGAGCUGCACGGGGAAGCCAAGGUGAGUCACCAUCAAGACCAGUGACUCAGAGGUUUGGGACAAGAAAUCAUGGAACGAGGUGCCUGCCAGAGUGUGAGGUGUGAGAGGGAGAGAGAGGAUAUGAUGAGUCUGGUGAGCAGGGAGCCACGUGUCUCAGUUAGUCACAGGAGCACCAAGUGGGAGGGGCUUCUUGUUCCUGGAAACGACCUGGUCACAGAGUGUUCAGUCCCUGAGCUGAGCCACUGUCUAACCUGGAAGAAGGCAGGUGAUGAACUACAAACGUCAAAGCUUAUGAGAGUUAGACACCCAUCCAAACCGACGUGGGCUUGUGUGCGCCAACUCUCAAAGGAUUACCCUAACUGCUGGUGCUGGCAUCCAUUCCAGCCUUCCCCUUCCUCUGGUCUACAAAGUGGAAAUGAGGGACAGAGUUUUUGAGUUUCCAAGAGAGGACUGAAGUCUAGAUUUACAAAUGCAUGUUAUGGGUCCAAACUAAAGCAACUGGGUGUAACUCGUCUGCAAGGCUUCUCAUCUGCUGAACUAUGGUGACCUCUGGCACCCAGAGCAAGCCUGGUGAGAGGAUCCAGGCCAGGCUUCAUCCUGCUGCGCGUGCCAGCGGACUGGAUGGGACUGGAUGGGGAGUGGAUGGGCUGGCUGGGAAGGAUAUAGGAUCAGGUCCUGCUUUUUACGCAUCUGGACUGCUAUGAGAAAGAGGAAGCCCGAAAUGGGUUGACAACAGCCAUCUUUUGGCCAGCACGAGCUUGACUCACCUUAACCUAAGACAGACUUCCUGCCAGCCCUGUGCAUCCCUCUGCUGGGACUGAAGAUGUUGGUGCUGAAGAUGGAGUGUUCUCUCAAGAGCCCAUGAUCCCAUUAUCCCCAGCCUCCUGACUGAAUUGACCUCAGUACUGGGGUGAUGGGCACAAGCCACCACCCCAGCUUGUCACAUGUAUAUUGCUUUUCCCAACUGGUUGGCAAGGCUACACAUCUCCGUGGCUCUCUUUUAAAUCCUCUAUGCUUCUCCCAAUUGCGGAGUCCAGGUUAGGACAGGACAGGAGAGCACCCCCUCUCCCCACCUGUCUUCUGUUUCCCGCAGUCCCUUCAGCUGGCCUCCCCCAGCCCCGUGUACCUCCUU
Long non-coding RNA from Mus musculus (house mouse), 1316 nucleotides. RefSeq annotates it as predicted gene, 35295. NCBI's taxonomy places the organism in Eukaryota, Metazoa, Chordata, Mammalia, Rodentia, Muridae. The record is from RefSeq and is a predicted model, not a curated record. The transcript is spliced from 3 exons.